CUUUUGUCUUCUCUACCGAAAAGGUGGAAGAGGUUGAAUUCUUACAGGCUAGGGCUAUGGAGCCUAAUGGACAUAGAAAGGGUAACAAAAAGAAUACGGUUUCCCUUCAAAACGGUGAUCUUAGCACAUUGAAUAUUGAUGAUGAGUUGGAUCCAUGGACUUCCUGGGCGAACAAACCUCACACUAUUACGUUGUUGCUUAUUGGUGCAUGUUUACUCAUUUGGGCUAGUGGAGCUCUCGACUCACAAAACACUUCUUCCGGUGAUAUUGUGGCAUCUGUGAAAAGGGGUGUUUGGGCUAUGAUUGCUGUGUAUCUUGCUUACUCUUUGCUGCAAGCCCCCUCCACCGUGCUCAUUAGGCCACAUCCUGCCAUUUGGCGCCUAGUUCAUGGAAUGGCUGUCAUUUACCUUGUUGCUUUGACGUUUUUGCUUUUUCAGAAGCGGGAUGAUGCUCAGCAAUUUAUGAGAUAUCUACAUCCUGAUCUUGGUAUUGAGCUACCUGAAAGAUCCUAUGGUGCUGAUUGCAGAAUCUACGUACCUGAAAAUCCCACAAACAGGUUUAAGAAUCUUUAUGACACAUUGUUCGAUGAGUUCGUUCUGGCUCAUAUCUUAGGGUGGUGGGGCAAGGCCAUCAUGAUACGUAAUCAGCCUCUUUUGUGGGUCUUAUCCAUUGGGUUUGAGUUGAUGGAGCUUACUUUCCGCCACAUGUUACCAAACUUUAAUGAGUGCUGGUGGGACAGCAUUAUUCUGGAUAUAUUCAUUUGCAACUGGUUUGGCAUCUUGGCUGGAAUGCGUACUGUUCGAUAUUUUGAUGGAAGAACAUAUGAGUGGGUUGGUAUAAGCCGGCAGCCAAAUAUUAUGGGCAAGGUCAAGCGAACACUUGGCCAAUUUACACCUGCACAUUGGGAUAAAGAUGAAUGGCGACCCCUCCUUGGUCCCUGGCGAUUCCUUCAAGUUCUCACUCUCUGUGUUAUUUUCUUGACUGUGGAAUUGAAUACAUUCUUCUUGAAGUUCUGUCUUUGGAUUCCU
Molecule: unclassified non-coding RNA, 1028 nt
Filed under: Hevea brasiliensis (rubber tree)
Lineage: Eukaryota; Viridiplantae; Streptophyta; Magnoliopsida; Malpighiales; Euphorbiaceae
Source: RNAcentral